Long non-coding RNA from Apodemus sylvaticus (European woodmouse), 234 nucleotides. RefSeq lists it as uncharacterized. NCBI's taxonomy places the organism in Eukaryota, Metazoa, Chordata, Mammalia, Rodentia, Muridae. The record is from RefSeq and is a predicted model, not a curated record. The transcript has 3 exons.
CUAGACUCAGUGUGCUGCCAGCCUGGGUCUCAGGUGCUGCCAGCCUGGGUCUCAGGUGCUGCCAGCCUGGGUCUCAGUGUGCUGCCAACCUGGGUCUCAGGUGCUGCCAGCCUGGGUCUCAGUGUGCUGCUAGCCUGGGUCUCAGGUGCUGCCAGCCUGGGUCUCAGGUGCUGCCAGCCUGGGUCUCAGGUGCUGCCAGCCUGGGUCUCAGUGUGCUGCCAGCCUGGGUCUCAG